AGAGUUUGAUCCUGGCUCAGAUUGAACGCUGGCGGCAUGCCUUACACAUGCAAGUCGAACGGCAGCACGGGAGCUUGCUCCUGGUGGCGAGUGGCGAACGGGUGAGUAAUAUAUCGGAACGUGCCCUAGAGUGGGGGAUAACUAGUCGAAAGAUUAGCUAAUACCGCAUACGAUCUAAGGAUGAAAGUGGGGGAUCGCAAGACCUCAUGCUCGUGGAGCGGCCGAUAUCUGAUUAGCUAGUUGGUGAGGUAAAGGCUCACCAAGGCGACGAUCAGUAGCUGGUCUGAGAGGACGACCAGCCACACUGGAACUGAGACACGGUCCAGACUCCUACGGGAGGCAGCAGUGGGGAAUUUUGGACAAUGGGCGCAAGCCUGAUCCAGCAAUGCCGCGUGAGUGAAGAAGGCCUUCGGGUUGUAAAGCUCUUUUGUCAGGGAAGAAACGGUUCUGGUUAAUACCCGGGGCUAAUGACGGUACCUGAAGAAUAAGCACCGGCUAACUACGUGCCAGCAGCCGCGGUAAUACGUAGGGUGCAAGCGUUAAUCGGAAUUACUGGGCGUAAAGCGUGCGCAGGCGGUUGUACAAGACAGAUGUGAAAUCCCCGGGCUUAACCUGGGAAU
RNAcentral lists this ribosomal RNA (620 nucleotides) under uncultured Herbaspirillum sp. RNAcentral's name for it is "bacterial SSU rRNA". It matches the Rfam family "Bacterial small subunit ribosomal RNA", at positions 8 to 621 of the family's 1533-position model. The record is from RNAcentral. Lineage: Bacteria; Pseudomonadati; Pseudomonadota; Betaproteobacteria; Burkholderiales; Oxalobacteraceae.